Molecule: transfer RNA, 72 nt
Filed under: Camelus bactrianus (Bactrian camel)
Lineage: Eukaryota; Metazoa; Chordata; Mammalia; Artiodactyla; Camelidae
Also listed under: 2 other names
Rfam family: tRNA
About the family: Transfer RNA (tRNA) molecules are approximately 80 nucleotides in length. Their secondary structure includes four short double-helical elements and three loops (D, anti-codon, and T loops). Further hydrogen bonds mediate the characteristic L-shaped molecular structure. tRNAs have two regions of fundamental functional importance: the anti-codon, which is responsible for specific mRNA codon recognition, and the 3' end, to which the tRNAs corresponding amino acid is attached (by aminoacyl-tRNA synthetases). tRNAs cope with the degeneracy of the genetic code in two manners: having more than one tRNA (with a specific anti-codon) for a particular amino acid; and 'wobble' base-pairing, i.e. permitting non-standard base-pairing at the 3rd anti-codon position.
Source: Rfam by way of RNAcentral
GGAGGUAUAGCUCAGUGAUAGAGUAUGUGCUCAGUGUGCAUAAGGUUCUGGGUUCAAUCCCCAGCACCUCAA